CUUUACAUUUCACCGAAAAGCAUUGUGAUUUCAUCAUCUCCACCUUCCUUAUUCUUAUCCUUAUCUUUAUAUCUAUAUUAUUGAUUUUUCUGGUUCUUAGUUGUGUUGUAAGACUAGGACUCUGCUAGAUUUAUGUUUUCAUUGACAAAAACUGUCAUUAAAAUGAGCCAAGUUCCCCCAAGGAGAGGCCAAAUCAAGGCUCAAAUAUUUGAGAGCAUGGUGAAGGCUAUUGCUUCAGCUGCUUCAAAAGCAAUGGGGAAAAACAAAGGAGAAGGCGGUGGCAGUGCGUCUACUACCAUAACUCCCAAGCAAAUGGUGACAUCUCUUAGGUUUCUCAAAUGGAACCCUUUGAAUAGUUAUUUGUAUGAACCACAAAAAUACCCAGACUGUGAAAACCUUUCGUUUUAGAUGCAGAUCACAGCUUCUUAUGGUUUUUUUUUUCUUUGGGAUAAGGUUAACCCUACACUAACUAAUGAGUUUUUUUUUAAGAGUUAAGGUAGGGGAUGUUUAUGAACUCUUGUAAGUUUACAUAUUGUAUGUCGUCAGUUUUAAGGCGUCUUCCUUCCAUGGUUGGUUGUUUCUUCUGGUUUUUUUUUUUGAGGAGGAGAUGAUCUUUAUGGAAGAAACUGGUUGUAUUGUAUGAAGAUUUUGUUUCUUAUUUUUGUGUGUUUGUGGGGAUUUAAUGUGAUGUCCAGACCCUGAAUCUUUUUAUGUUUAGUCUGUUUGCCUUUUGGAAGAGGGGCUAAUAUGUCGGCUUAGCUAUGGAUUAAGAAGUAUUUAAUUAGUAAUUGUUAAAAAAUUUACAGAUAAAAUGGUUGAGGGUGAUUGAUUGUUUUGGGAGAAA
Gossypium arboreum is the source of this 844-nucleotide long non-coding RNA. RefSeq lists it as uncharacterized. The record is from RefSeq and is a predicted model, not a curated record. Lineage: Eukaryota; Viridiplantae; Streptophyta; Magnoliopsida; Malvales; Malvaceae. The transcript has 2 exons.